GUUUGAAAUUCCUGUCACCCAACCCUUUGGCACCCCAAAAUUAAUCAUUUAUCGGGCGACAUUUUUUUUUUGUAUUUUUUUGUGUCGCCCCGCGGAUUCAAUAUUUACUUUUCUACCCCAGCAACCCACUUGUCGCAUAAAUUGCUUAUUGAAAAAUGCCGCCAAACGUGACGUGCUCCGCAUAUUAAAAAACAUUUAUUUGCCGCAGCAAACGUUGAACCUUGUCUGGCUCAUAAAAAUUAAAUACUGGAGCAGCAAAAAAAUAUUGAAAAAAUGUACAUAAGGUUAGUCAUAAACGGAAAUCAAAUGAAAAGGUCAGAAAUACACAAAACCCACAAUUUGCCAGCCGCUCGUAAAAAUUCGAACCGAGAACCGCCGAUCUUUCCCGCCCUGUUUUGCCUACUCUCUACCGUUCUCUCCGACCCUCGUCAGGGGUAAGUGUUAAUUUAUUUGUCGGUUGAUUACAACGCGAAUCCGGCAGCUCGACGUCGUGUUUGCUGCAAAAACAAAUUAAUUUUUAUGUCCCUGUGCGAGGGGCACAAACACAUUUUGAGUAAUGCGACAGCCGACCCAAAGCCGGAAGUGUAUUAAUUUCCGACCAGAGACAGGAGCACCGGAAAAAGGAACGUCGAGUAUCAAGGUGAAGGUUGAUUUGUCGGGAUAAGACUUUUUUGUUGUUUUGGAAAUAUGGAGAUUAUGUCUGCGUCAGGAGCAGUGUAGUAAGAAAAAAGGAUCCCAAAGCUUAAGAAAG
Molecule: long non-coding RNA, 751 nt
Filed under: Drosophila guanche
Lineage: Eukaryota; Metazoa; Arthropoda; Insecta; Diptera; Drosophilidae
Source: RNAcentral